GACCUCAAACUCUCCAACAAACAUGGCUUAGGAGUGAAGGAAGGUGAGCACAGGCUGUCCAUGGCAUGAGAAGCCAUGGACUCCGGUGAGAUUGGUCGGAGAUGAUGAAGGAGGCAAUUAGGGUUUUUGAGGGUUUGAAAGCAUUUAAUAGAGUGAGAGAUUUUGAGGGCGGCAGUCGAAGAGAAAUGAGAGUUAGGGUUCGGUCGUUUGAAAUUAAAAUGGCAAGGAU
This 229-nucleotide long non-coding RNA is filed under the name Nicotiana benthamiana. RNAcentral's name for it is "long non-coding RNA (NBEN_LNC013543)". The record is from RNAcentral. Lineage: Eukaryota; Viridiplantae; Streptophyta; Magnoliopsida; Solanales; Solanaceae.